This 366-nucleotide ribosomal RNA is filed under the name uncultured organism. Its description in RNAcentral is "bacterial SSU rRNA". It matches the Rfam family "Bacterial small subunit ribosomal RNA", at positions 526 to 896 of the family's 1533-position model. The record is from RNAcentral.
CGGAGGAUCCAAGCGUUAUCCGGAAUCAUUGGGUUUAAAGGGUCCGUAGGCGGUUUGAUAAGUCAGUGGUGAAAGCCCAUCGCUCAACGAUGGAACGGCCAUUGAUACUGUCAGACUUGAAUUACUGGGAAGUAACUAGAAUAUGUAGUGUAGCGGUGAAAUGCUUAGAUAUUAUAUGGAAUACCAAUUGCGAAGGCAGGUUACUACCAGUGGAUUGACGCUGAUGGACGGAAGCGUGGGGAGCGAACAGGAUUAGAUACCCUGGUAGUCCACGCCGUAAACGAUGGAUACUAGCUGUUGGGCGCAAGUUCAGUGGCUAAGCGAAAGUGAUAAGUAUCCCACCUGGGGAGUACGUUCGCAAGAAUG